AAGAAAGGCAUGCUGGGCAAUGUAGUUCCCAGCCCGGUAGGUGGCAGGCGUCGGCGAGAAGGCGGGUGCCCGGUUCUCUCAGGCUUUGGCACCGGAAGGGCAUAGCUACGGCUGAGAGGAGAGCCAAAGGUUUCUUGGGUGACAAGGCUGUUCCCUCUGCAGAUCUGUUUAGAUUCAGGUGGGAAGGCUCUCAAAUAGGCUGGACUCGAGUGUUUGCCCUGUCAAGGCUAUGAAGGUGACACCACAGCAAGGGAAGCCACCAGAGGUUUCUGAAGGUAGAGGUAAAAAUAGUGGGGGGAAAAUAACCAUUUUUGGAUAAAUAAUGACUUAAUAGGAGGAGAGAGUGAGCUGAGGCAAUUUCAGAAGCCAAAUACAAAAGCUAAGACGACUGGAAGUGCAAAUACAAGGAUAUAGAUGGAGUAAGGUAUUUCAGAGGAACUGUGCAGGAGCUGGUGUUGGGGUGCAGCAUGUUUAACUUGAAGU
Ochotona curzoniae (black-lipped pika) is the source of this 483-nucleotide long non-coding RNA. RefSeq lists it as uncharacterized. The record is from RefSeq and is a predicted model, not a curated record. Lineage: Eukaryota; Metazoa; Chordata; Mammalia; Lagomorpha; Ochotonidae. The transcript is spliced from 2 exons.